Molecule: long non-coding RNA, 3454 nt
Organism: Bombus huntii
Lineage: Eukaryota; Metazoa; Arthropoda; Insecta; Hymenoptera; Apidae
Exons: 2
Source: RefSeq, a predicted model, not a curated record
UGCCUAAAGAAAAGUACGCAAAUUGCAGAUCUCUUUCUCUCUCUUCCUCGAUUUCCGUUCUCCGGAUUUCAAUCGGAUUUAAUUUGAUUUCUUGAUGUUUGCACGUGCAACGAUGCAAAGCACACAGCGAAAAAUACAAGCGCAAUCGUUAAAAUGGAUUUUAUCUUUAUAACAAGAAGUGCAAAUCGUAAUCAAGAUCGUUCUUGAUUAAAUUUUUAUUUCCGAAUAUUUUUUAACGCGUUUUUUUCUUUUUGUUUUUUUCUUUUUUUAGUACAAAAAUGGAAAUGUGUGAUUCUUUCGUAAUAUAGCUUCGGUUGUUAAACGAUUACAAUUUUCAAAAAGCUUUUGUAUGUGUCUGUGUAUAUAUAUAUAUGUAUGUAUAUAUACAUGUAUGUAUGUAUGCACUGUAAAUGCUCGAAAAAGUGAAAUUCAGCAUCAAAAUAGGUCGCGCUUAGAGAGUAUAGGAGUUGUUAGUGUUAACAUCUACUUUUUGGCCCCGCAUUAAUGAACGAACUCGACGUUUCCUGCGAAACUGUUGUGUAUGUGUGUGCUACGGAAAAUGUUCGAAACUUGUUACGUUCGACUAUAACCUUCGCUUCACAUUCUUCUUCCUUUUUUCGCAGUCGGAUAGUAAAAAUUUUAGAAAAUCGUUAUGUGUAUAACUUUUUACGCUAAACCAUUUAAUAUUUAGGAAUAAUAUAUAUUGUUUACUGAAGUGUAUAUUAUUUUACUAUUACUUUUAUUUGCUGAAUACCUUGAUUAAUGUUCUAAGAUACAGAAUUUUUCAUAACAAAAAUGUAAGUCAAAGUUUUAAAAAGAAAAAGAUUUCAACUCUGAACCACAGAUAUCUAACCCCUUCCCGUACUUUAUCGAGUCAGACUCGCGAUGAAGAUUUUGGCCCGAACAUAAAUAUCGCGAGUCUGACUCGCGACCAGAUACUUGGGCCAAACGUAAACAUCGCGAGUCUGACUCGCGACCAGAUACUUGGGCCAAACGUAAAUAUCGCGAGUCUGACUCGCGACCAGAUACUUGGGUCAAACGUAAACAUAACAACCGAGCUCGCGGAUUGUUUUGUUGCCCCGUUACGAUCGUGACUGAAUGUUAGUUUCUACAUUUCGGUUCCGCUCGUCGAUGUCUACCGCUUGGGCUCGAGUUUCGUCCAACUAAAUGGCACGGGAAGGGGUUAACAAUGGUAAACAGCUACAUAUAUUGUCAAGAUGUUGUAAGUAGUCAAAAGAAACAUCCACAAAUACCUAAGUGUUGCAGAAAUUGUAUUCUUAACCUUGGGGCAUCAUCUAAUUCACGUAAUUUAAAUAUAGAAUAAUGCUCGGAGUUAUUUUCGUAAACCGAUGACUCAUCGACAUGUAGGUACCGGUAGUUCUAUUUUUAGCACGGUAUGUCAACAAACGACACUUUUGUCGCCCAUUGAGCGUCGGCGGGCUCGAGCCUAGGCCGUUUUCUGCUAAGACAGUGGUCUUGUGGUACCUAAACUCUAGCAUACGCACACAGGUUUGACCGUGUUUACGUCGAUCGCGAGUUGUUUUGUCAAACGUCAAAGCGAAAAGGGCGCUCCGAAUUAUCUUUGUCAGACGUGCAGCAUUGUCACUUUUGCAUCACCAGCGUGCCCCACAAAGUAUACUUAGCAAAAUUUUUCGACCGCGCGUUUACCAACUGACUGCAACUUUUCUUACGAUUUGCAUAGUCGAAUAUUGCUGGCCUUAUCCGCGUGCCUCGCAGUUCCAGUACUCUAACUCACUCGUAAGCUUCACAUAGUAUGAGUUGCAUUUGUUUCCCUUGUCAACUGUUGAUUAGCUCUAAGCUUUAUUUCUCGUAUUCACGUUUCUUUAAAUUUUGCUAACGUGUUUGUAUACUUUUACUUGAAUUCUCUUUGCAUCCAUACUUUUUCGUUAUUUCAUUGUAGUCGCAUUUCGUUGUGAUUUAUACGUUAUAUAAAUUGGUUUAAUCGCCUUUGGCAUUCUGCAUCGUCUAUCUCUGUACCUUAUCAUUUAGUCAAUUAUACUCCACACUAACAAAUUAAUUAUAAUAUAUAAAUUUCUAAUAAAAGUCUAAUUUAUCUAUGUGUAGCUUUAUGCUCCUGCUACUUCUUUUUCUACAAGAAAACUGGCUGCUACAAUUAACAAGUUUCGAGCAAUUUCCAUACGAGUUAUCCGUGCUUGAUAUUGUGCCCAGCGUUUCAUCCUCGUGUAUUCAUGCAACACGUAGAAACGAACAGAAGACGAGAAGAUGAAACAUUGUAGAAAUUGAAGGAAAAGAAAGAAUAAAAUCUCGAAGUGUACACGCGUGUCGUGUACACUGGAACGAAAUAGUCAGCUUGAAACUAUAUCCCGAAUUGCUUACCGACGACACCAUAGUCGCAAGUCGGACGAUUUUUGGCAAUGUCGAUGGAAGUAGCUGAAAAACAAAUCGUAUCGAUAACUCGAAGAGAUCUUGGCACGGUACACGAACGCACACAUAAAACAAAAUGCGACUGGUCCAUCGAAUUGUGUUUCCAAAAACUUGGGAAACGUACAGGUAAGCUUACACGAGUUUACGAAUCGAUCGUAGUCUAGCUUUUUUAUCUUCUUCGAUCGAUUUAAAAUAGACGAUGCUUCGAUGUGUACGCUAAUAUACUUGUUAUAUUAUAUGUAAAUGACUUUAAUAAUUAAGAUUCUUUCUCAAAGACGCAUACGUGAGAAACAUUCGUGCGAGUCGGUCAACAAUAAUAAAAUAGCACACAAGUUAGAAGCAAUAAGUGCAGAGAUUUAAAAAAGGUGAUUUCGGAAAUUGAUGGCUUCUAAUAUUCGAUGUCCCUGGGCAAGAAAUUGUUAUUGACAUUAAACAUUUUCAGAUUAACUGUUUCAACGCAACUUGUCAGUUCUUGGUUGGAUAAUAAUAAAAAUUAUGUUUCUUUUAUUUCAGAACUUUUUCUUCGAUUCUGAUGAUAUGGAAAGGUAAACAACAGAAAACGACAACUUACAAUUCUGAAAUUCAAGGUAAUUAUGAGUAUAAUAAAUAAUAAAGUUGCGUGAAUGAUUUUUAUAUAAAACAGUCGGCUGACGAUAAAUCAGCUUUGCUUAGCUCAUCGAGCACUCGAAAUCUGCAAAUUUCUGAACUCCCGUUUUUUAACUCCCUGCACAAUAUCCCGAACGUGAUAAUGUGUAGAGGGCCAAAGGAACAUUUCUCACCUUCGUCGCUGGAAACGUUUCAUUGGCGCAAGUUAGUCUCUUCGAGAUUAUUAAUAUUUACGUAAAUAUCAGAAUAAUAUAAACUGCGGUAUUCUGUGUUAUAUGUAUAUCGAGAUAUUUUCGCAUCACGCAGACAUGUGUUUCCAUAGCCUAUAUCUCGGCAAUCAGCAGUGCAACACACAAGCUUUCAUCAAGCAAAACUUUCUUUGAAGCAUUUCUCGCGAAUAUGCUGUGUGGAUCCAUAAUAGAUUUGAAUGAAAUUUUUUUUU